GAUGAAGAACGCAGCGAAAUGCGAUAAGUAAUGCGAAUUGCAGAAUCCGUGAGUCAUCGAAUCUUUGAACGCACAUUGCGCCCCUUGGUUAUUCCGAAGGGCAUGCCUGUUCGAGCGUCAUUAUCACCCCUCAAGCCCUGGCUUGGUGUUGGACGGUUUGGUGGAGGCCCCCUCGGGGGCUCCUGCCCCUCCCAAAGACAAUGACGGCGGCCUCGUUGGACCCCCGGUACACUGAGUUCUUCACGGGACACGUAUCGGACACAUGGGUUUACGGGACACGGUCUGCCUCCCCUCAGGGAGAAUCUUUCUAAGGUUGACCUCGGAUCAGGUAGGGAUACCCGCUGAACUUAAGCAUAUCAAUAAGCGGAGGA
Molecule: unclassified non-coding RNA, 371 nt
Filed under: soil metagenome
Description: partial contains 5.8S ribosomal RNA, internal transcribed spacer 2, and large subunit ribosomal RNA
Rfam family: 5.8S ribosomal RNA (bases 1-120)
Source: RNAcentral